RNAcentral lists this unclassified non-coding RNA (397 nucleotides) under Hevea brasiliensis (rubber tree). The record is from RNAcentral. Lineage: Eukaryota; Viridiplantae; Streptophyta; Magnoliopsida; Malpighiales; Euphorbiaceae.
AGCCAUUGAAAUAGAAGUUAUUUUUUGGAUGUUAAGCCCUAGGGUUUUGCAUUAGUUGGUUUCAGAAGGCAAUUGCCCGCCAUCGCCAUUUUAUGUUGUUGGGAUUGAAUUCAUUCCUUAUGACCUAAACCCAUUUCUUAGCAGUUACACGCAAAGUCGUCAUUAAUACGUCAACAGCUCCAGAGUAUUGAUUGCUUUAUUAAAUAACUUUGAAACUUAGCUAAUGCCGUUGCUGCCCCCACACACACAAGAAAAGAAAAAAAGGAUGAGAAGGAAGAAGAAUGAAAAAUGAAAGAGGAAAGAAAACCCUAGCCAUUGCCACCAUGUAAACCCGCUUAGCAGGGGACUUGUUUGUUACAACCAUCCCCAUCACCUGGCUCAAUGAUCUUAACUUAUU